Molecule: ribosomal RNA, 815 nt
Filed under: Globigerinella siphonifera
Lineage: Eukaryota; Foraminifera; Rotaliida; Globigerinidae
Description: bacterial SSU rRNA
Rfam family: Eukaryotic small subunit ribosomal RNA
Source: RNAcentral
UGCGUUUCAAUAUAUUUUAUUAUAUAACGAGUCUACAAAGGAGUGGUUCAUUAACAGACAAUCAUAUCUUUGAGCGUCUGGAAUCUACUCUAUUUGGCUCAAUUGAACGCAACGGACGUGAUCGCGAGUCCUUGUUGAACUUCAGUAUAUAUUGACUAUCCCCGUAGGAAGGGAUUGGCAAUAAUUGAAUGUUCGCUUUCUAUUAGGUGUGUAUAUAUAGUCUCAAAAUUACAUGUAUUUGUAAUGGCGAGUAAUAUUUAUACUAUCCUGUAGGAAAACUCGGGCGACCGCUGUAAUAUUUCUCUUUAAAACAGAGGAAGAUUGCGGCAAUAACAGGUCUGUGAUGCCCUCAGAUGUCCCGGGCCGCACACGUGCUACAUUGAUUAGCGCAGUGCGCAUACUUUCAAUAUGAUACAUUAGAUUGGAUUGUUCUGUUGAGCUCCAUCUAAUACUAUCCGGCUUGAGAAGGCUGGGUAAUCAAUUGUAAGUGCUGGUUCCUCCUCCCGUUGAGCAUUUUAAUAAUGGCCUCUCUACAUCCCUAGCAAUAUGCCUAGUGCGAUUGUAGUUGAGCCUUGCCAUUUAUGCAAGUGUCAAUUCUCAGUGGGGACAGACAUUUGAUAAUUCUUUGUCUCGUUCUUAACUAGGAAUGCCUUGUACGGGUCUUGGUUCAACAGACCACCCGGAAUACGUCCCUGCCCUUUGUACACACCGCCCGUCGCUCUUACCGAUGAAUUUCCCUGUGAGUUUGAAGGACUGAUGGUUGCAAAAUCAUUGGAAAUUCUGUCAAACAGCGAGAUUUAAAGGAAAGAGAAGUC